AUUGAACGCUGGCGGCAUGCCUUACACAUGCAAGUCGAACGGCAGCACGGGAGCAAUCCUGGUGGCGAGUGGCGAACGGGUGAGUAAUACAUCGGAACGUGCCCAAUCGUGGGGGAUAACGCAGCGAAAGCUGUGCUAAUACCGCAUACGAUCUACGGAUGAAAGCAGGGGACCGCAAGGCCUUGCGCGAAUGGAGCGGCCGAUGGCAGAUUAGGUAGUUGGUGGGGUAAAGGCUCACCAAGCCAACGAUCUGUAGCUGGUCUGAGAGAACGACCAGCCACACUGGGACUGAGACACGGCCCAGACUCCUACGGGAGGCAGCAGUGGGGAAUUUUGGACAAUGGGCGCAAGCCUGAUCCAGCCAUGCCGCGUGCAGGAUGAAGGCCUUCGGGUUGUAAACUGCUUUUGUACGGAACGAAACGGCCUUUUCUAAUAAAGAGGGCUAAUGACGGUACCGUAAGAAUAAGCACCGGCUAACUACGUG
This 484-nucleotide ribosomal RNA is filed under the name uncultured bacterium. RNAcentral's name for it is "partial 16S ribosomal RNA". It matches the Rfam family "Bacterial small subunit ribosomal RNA", at positions 30 to 507 of the family's 1533-position model. The record is from RNAcentral.